Actinia tenebrosa (Australian red waratah sea anemone) is the source of this 481-nucleotide long non-coding RNA. Lineage: Eukaryota; Metazoa; Cnidaria; Anthozoa; Actiniaria; Actiniidae. The record is from RefSeq and is a predicted model, not a curated record.
GUACUCAGUCCCUGGUAUUCAUAGCAGCUGAAGCGGGUCAGGUCAAGCAAGGGUUGAAAAUGCAAGACAAUUCUACCUGGGUCGUUAAUUGUUGAUGAACGAAAAGGGAGCUUCCCUUAAGACAACAGCAGUAAGUGUUGUCUUACGGGAUCAGAGAUGUUAUUCCAUGAACUGGAAAUGUGAAAAAAAUUAUCCUUCAAUUUUCCACCCAAAACAAGUAUAACGUCAAAUACUGGCGUUGGAGGGGACGAGUACAAAAAAGGCAUAUAAGCAGAAGAAUCAAUAGCAAGAAGAUGACACAGCACACGGCGAUGAUAAUCCAGAUUACUGCCAAAAACAAAAAUAGAUCAGUGUACGCGCUGGUGUUACUUGAUAUCAAAUCGACACUAAAGCGUUCAUUGAAAAUCUUGACGGUCACGUUUAUGGUGCGGAUUAACUCAUUCGUCCAUGGCUUGUAUGGAACAGAUAUCGAGGAAGACCU